GAACAAAUGGAAUCAAAAUCCAGCGUCACAGAUACAGUUCAGCUGGACAAUGCAUUAACAUAUCCGAAAUCAUUUUAAAUAUUAUAGAGCAGAUACAUCUGCCACUGGCACCUAUUUACCGAUAAACACUGGUUCAGAGACUGAUUUCACUUUGGUUGCAGGUUCUGCUGAGAUCUGUCACAUUUCAGGUUGUCAGCGUUUAUCAGCCUUGCGGAUCUAUGGAACAACAACCAAGAAAAAGAGGUCGGCCAAGGCUCCUUGUCACCGCUGAUGUGGUGGAGCGGCGAAAGAAUUCCAAGCGGUUGCAAAAUGCCAAGCGUGCUUACAAGCGGGGUAUGUACACUGCUAAGCUGUUGUUUUGGGCUAGGAUCAACUACUCCCCCUUCCCUGUUCAGAGAGCCAGUCCCCAAGCCUUUAAAACCGUGAGGCACCCGUUUACGUGGACUUUUAAUUUUUGUGGUUGCUGGAGAGUGUUUGGUAUUCUUACGAAUUGCUUUCCGAGCCUCUGCAGUUGUGUGUGCCCGAGUCCAGGGAGCGUGCGUGCGGAAAUCUGGUUUAAGAUCUGUGUGCGUGUUUUUACCUCGGCUGUUCCACUAACUAGCUUUACUCUUAUCUUCCUGUUUAGGAGAGGAGCUAUCGGAAGGGGGAUGUUCCGCCCACUCUCCAAACAUCGCUGGAUCUCCUACUGGUGGCCAAUCCAGUUCAGAUGCCUGUCCAGCGUUAGAUGAUGCUCGUCCGGCGGGC
Molecule: long non-coding RNA, 744 nt
Filed under: Daucus carota (carrot)
Lineage: Eukaryota; Viridiplantae; Streptophyta; Magnoliopsida; Apiales; Apiaceae
Description: long non-coding RNA (DCAR_LNC001100)
Source: RNAcentral